Rhinichthys klamathensis goyatoka is the source of this 292-nucleotide long non-coding RNA. RefSeq lists it as uncharacterized. The transcript is spliced from 3 exons. The record is from RefSeq and is a predicted model, not a curated record. Lineage: Eukaryota; Metazoa; Chordata; Actinopteri; Cypriniformes; Leuciscidae.
AGAGGACUCUCGUCAGCUCUUACCGGCAUCUUGAGCGCGAAGUCGUCCUGACUGAAGCGGAAACCGAGGUCUGUUCCAGUGGUCUGAAGGGAUAGAAACUUCAUACAUUUUAGACUAAACCCUUGCAAGCUUCCCGUAUUUCUUUGGUAAAGACAACAGCAUCUGAAUCAGAGCAGCACAAGCCAUCAGAGCAAAGGUCCGAGUAUAAAACCCUUCGCCUCUGAGUCUCAACCGCACUCUCUGACUACACCAGACGGGCUGCGGAUUACCAGAGAGAGGGAGCAGAUCGCAC